Molecule: ribosomal RNA, 287 nt
Filed under: Cinnagrostis violacea var. puberula
Lineage: Eukaryota; Viridiplantae; Streptophyta; Magnoliopsida; Poales; Poaceae
Description: partial 18S ribosomal RNA
Rfam family: Eukaryotic small subunit ribosomal RNA
Source: RNAcentral
AUCUUGGGAAAUUUCAUCGUGAUGGGGAUAGAUCAUUGCAAUUGUUGGUCUUCAACGAGGAAUGCCUAGUAAGCGCGAGUCAUCAGCUCGCGUUGACUACGUCCCUGCCCUUUGUACACACCGCCCGUCGCUCCUACCGAUUGAAUGGUCCGGUGAAGUGUUCGGAUCGCGGCGACGGGGGCGGUUCGCCGCCCCCGACGUNGCGAGAAGUCCAUUGAACCUUAUCAUUUAGAGGAAGGAGAAGUCGUAACAAGGUUUCCGUAGGUGAACCUGCGGAAGGAUCAUUG